Molecule: ribosomal RNA, 516 nt
Filed under: uncultured Chloroflexota bacterium
Lineage: Bacteria; Bacillati; Chloroflexota
Description: bacterial SSU rRNA
Rfam family: Bacterial small subunit ribosomal RNA
Source: RNAcentral
GAUCCUACGGGAGGCAGCAGCGAGGAAUCUUGCGCAAUGGGCGAAAGCCUGACGCAGCAACGCCGCGUGAGCGACGAAGGCCUUCGGGUUGUAAAGCUCUUUUGACGGGGAAGAAGCUCUGACGGUACCCGUCGAAUAAGCCACGGCUAACUACGUGCCAGCAGCCGCGGUAAUACGUAGGUGGCGAGCGUUAUCCGGAUUUACUGGGCGUAAAGGGUACGUAGGCGGUGUUGUAAGUCUGCUGUGAAAUCUCCCGGCUCAACCGGGAGGGGCCGGUGGAAACUGCAACACUGGAGGUGCGUCGAGGCAAGUGGAAUUCCCGGUGUAGUGGUGGAAUGCGUAGAUACCGGGAGGAACACCAGUGGCGAAAGCGGCUUKCCAGGCGCGGCCUGACGCUGAGGUACGAAAGCGUGGGGAGCGAACCGGAUUAGAUACCCGGGUAGUCCACGCCGUAAACGAUGGAUGCUAGACGUGGGGAGUAUCGACCCUCUCCGUGUCGAAGCUAACGCGAUAAGC